CUGUUGGUGGAUGAGUGGCGAACGGGUGAGUAACACGUGAGUAACCUGCCCCUGAUUUCGGGAUAAGCCUGGGAAACUGGGUCUAAUACCGGAUAUGACCAAUCCUUGCAUGAGGGUUGGUGGAAAGUUUUUCGAUCGGGGAUGGGCUCGCGGCCUAUCAGCUUGUUGGUGGGGUAAUGGCCUACCAAGGCGACGACGGGUAGCCGGCCUGAGAGGGCGACCGGCCACACUGGGACUGAGACACGGCCCAGACUCCUACGGGAGGCAGCAGUGGGGAAUAUUGCACAAUGGGGGAAACCCUGAUGCAGCGACGCAGCGUGCGGGAUGACGGCCUUCGGGUUGUAAACCGCUUUCAGCAGGGAAGAAGCGAAAGUGACGGUACCUGCAGAAGAAGUACCGGCUAACUACGUGCCAGCAGCCGCGGUAAUACGUAGGGUACGAGCGUUGUCCGGAAUUAUUGGGCGUAAAGAGCUCGUAGGUGGUUGGUCACGUCUGCUGUGGAAACGCAACGCUUAACGUUGCGCGUGCAGUGGGUACGGGCUGACUAGAGUGCAGUAGGGGAGUCUGGAAUUCCUGGUGUAGCGGUGAAAUGCGCAGAUAUCAGGAGGAACACCGGUGGCGAAGGCGGGACUCUGGGCUGUAACUGACACUGAGGAGCGAAAGCAUGGGGAGCGAACAGGAUUAGAUACCCUGGUAGUCCAUGCCGUAAACGUUGGGCACUAGGUGUGGGGGACAUUCCACGUUCUCCGC
RNAcentral lists this ribosomal RNA (750 nucleotides) under Brevibacterium sediminis. Its description in RNAcentral is "bacterial SSU rRNA". It matches the Rfam family "Bacterial small subunit ribosomal RNA", at positions 81 to 844 of the family's 1533-position model. The record is from RNAcentral. Lineage: Bacteria; Bacillati; Actinomycetota; Actinomycetes; Micrococcales; Brevibacteriaceae.